RNAcentral lists this transfer RNA (75 nucleotides) under Planctomycetia bacterium. RNAcentral describes it as "tRNA-Val". It matches the Rfam family "tRNA". From Rfam's summary of the family: Transfer RNA (tRNA) molecules are approximately 80 nucleotides in length. Their secondary structure includes four short double-helical elements and three loops (D, anti-codon, and T loops). The record is from RNAcentral. Lineage: Bacteria; Pseudomonadati; Planctomycetota; Planctomycetia.
GGGCGGUUAGCUCAGUUUGGUUAGAGCGUCUGGUUUACACCCAGAAGGUCACAGGUCCGAGUCCUGUACCGCCCA